GUGUUCACUUCGGCAGCACUUAUAUUAAAAUUAGAAGGAUACAAAGAAGAUUANCAUGGUCCCUGUGCAAGGAUGAUAUGNAAAUUUGUGAAGCAUACUUUCUUUCU
Molecule: small nuclear RNA, 107 nt
Filed under: Salvator merianae (Argentine black and white tegu)
Lineage: Eukaryota; Metazoa; Chordata; Lepidosauria; Squamata; Teiidae
Source: RNAcentral